AACGAACGCUGGCGGCAUGCCUAACACAUGCAAGUCGAACGAGACCUUCGGGUCUAGUGGCGCACGGGUGCGUAACGCGUGGGAACCUGCCCUUAGGUUCGGAAUAACUCCCCGAAAGGGGUGCUAAUACCGGAUAAUGUCUUCGGACCAAAGAUUUAUCGCCUUUGGAUGGGCCCGCGUUGGAUUAGUUAGUUGGUAGGGUAAAAGCCUACCAAGGCGACGAUCCAUAGCUGGUCUGAGAGGAUGAUCAGCCACACUGGGACUGAGACACGGCCCAGACUCCUACGGGAGGCAGCAGUGGGGAAUAUUGGACAAUGGGCGAAAGCCUGAUCCAGCAAUGCCGCGUGAGUGAUGAAGGCCUUAGGGUUGUAAAGCUCUUUUACCCGGGAUGAUAACGACAGUACCGGGAGAAUAAGCUCCGGCUAACUCCGUG
Molecule: ribosomal RNA, 433 nt
Filed under: uncultured bacterium
Lineage: Bacteria
Description: partial 16S ribosomal RNA
Rfam family: Bacterial small subunit ribosomal RNA
Source: RNAcentral